UGUGUGCCCUUAUUAUGGUUGGGAUUUUUUAGAUCAGCAGUUAUUGCUAUAUAGCCAUAUUUAUAAAUCUUCUACUGGCCUACUAAGUCCCAACAUAAUGAGAGUAAA
Molecule: non-coding RNA, 108 nt
Organism: Drosophila melanogaster (fruit fly)
Lineage: Eukaryota; Metazoa; Arthropoda; Insecta; Diptera; Drosophilidae
Gene: mir-193
Product: mir-193 precursor RNA
Exons: 1
Source: RefSeq